CCCUAUUAUUAAAUAUUUUAUUAAAUUAGUAAAAUUUAUGAAACUUAAUCAUAUUGGCGGUUAAUUAUAUAUUAGAGGAGCUUGUUUUCAUUAUAGAUAUUACUCUUUAUAUUUCAAUAUUUUUAGCUUAUUCAUCUCUGUAAUCAAAUUUAUAUUAAAAUUUAAUAACCUUAAAAAUCUCAGGUCAAGAUGUAGCCUUAAAUAUUGAAAAUUAGCUACAAUAAUUAAAUUAUGUAUUAAAAAAUCUUCAUAAUGUUAAUAAAUUGAAUUUAUUUGUAAUAAUUACUAAAAUAUAAUCAUGAUCUUUCAUAAUUAAUGUA
This 320-nucleotide ribosomal RNA is filed under the name Discocyrtus invalidus. RNAcentral's name for it is "partial 12S ribosomal RNA". The record is from RNAcentral. Lineage: Eukaryota; Metazoa; Arthropoda; Arachnida; Opiliones; Gonyleptidae.